AUGUUUGCCACAACUGUUUCAGUGCUAAGAAGUGUAGCAGCUGAUCGUUCAGCUACAAGGAACUCAAGAGGUGAUGCUGGAGGUGCCCUGAAAAUCCUACUCACAUUUGAUUUUGUGUUCAUUCUACACUUAAUGGAAAGAAUCAUGAAAAUCACAAAUGUCUUGUAUCUCAAACUUCAACAUAAAUCUUUGGACAUUGCAAAUGCAUUAGAUUGUGUUUCUAACACAAAGGUGUUGCUUGACGAACUAAGAGAAGAUGGAUGGGACAGCCUUUUUGAAGAUGUGAAAUCCUUUUAUGUGAAACAUGAGAUUGACAUUCCGGACAUGGAUCAAAAGUAUGUUGAUGUGACAAAAUCUCAAAAUAAGCAUGACAACACCACAUUUAUCCAUCAUUACAAAGUAGAUGUGUUUAAUGUUGCAAUUGAUCAACAAGUGAUAGAGUUGAAUGAUUGAUUCAGUUUUCAAGUAACUGAGCUUCUAGAUCUUUGUUCAUCAUUGGACCUGAGGCAUGAUGCCUUUAGCAAGUCAAAGAUAUGUAGACUAGUGGAGAAAUUCUAUCUUGCAGAUUUUUCUAGUCAAGAAAGAGAUCGGUUGGAGUGCGAGCUACGACAUUUCCAGCUUGACUAUCCAAUGGUUGAAAGGUUGUUACGAUUAGUGAUAACUCUCCCGGUGUCAACUGCAACAGCAGAGCGAGCCUUUUCUGCAAUGAAACUAGUCAAGACACGACUUCAAAGCAGAAUGAGAGAUGAUUUUCUUUGCCAUUGCACGCCAGCUUACAUUGAUAAGGAACUUGCAGCCAAGUUUAACUCUGAAGAAAUAAUCGAUAUCUUCGAUACUAGUGCUCGUAAAGUAGAAUUCAAAUUGAUAGAAUUGUAA
Molecule: ribosomal RNA, 876 nt
Filed under: Triticum aestivum (bread wheat)
Lineage: Eukaryota; Viridiplantae; Streptophyta; Magnoliopsida; Poales; Poaceae
Description: partial small subunit ribosomal RNA
Source: RNAcentral